Molecule: long non-coding RNA, 1643 nt
Filed under: Physcomitrium patens
Lineage: Eukaryota; Viridiplantae; Streptophyta; Bryopsida; Funariales; Funariaceae
Description: long non-coding RNA (PPAT_LNC005808)
Source: RNAcentral
GGAUGGACAGUACCUGCACAUUGCGUAGACUCAAAGCGGCUGUAUUUCCAGUUCUCAAGUGUCGAUCAUUUUUAUGUCAGAAUAUGUCUUCCUCUUCCUCCUCCUCCGCCGGGUCCAUCUUAGACUUGGUCAUCGUCGUCGUUUUGCUCGUCCUCCUGCUCUGGGCCCGCACCAGAUUCCUUCAUCGUCGUCGUCGUCGUGGAUGCUCUGCAGUCGGCACUCCUCCACCCCCUAUUGCUCUUCUCGUCUCGUCCGCCACCGUCCCUAGCUUCUGCUUCCCUCUUGCGUAGUUCAUCAAGGGACCUAUCUGUCGGGAGCGGUUGAAUCCUCCAAAGGCGAUGGAGUGUAAACCCUAGUACAUCGUCGUCACUGUUUAUUUUAUUUUAUUUACUAUGAAAUGUGGUUUGGCCGGUAUGGGUGCGCCGGUGGAGCUGGUUUGGGGCGAAGUCGAGUGGGGAAUUACAUCGGGUUGGGGGAACGCAUGAAGUCACAGGGCGAUCAAGGCGGAUAGGUGGAUCAGCAGAAUGUGCAUGUGAGUGGAGUGCAGAAUUGUAGUUGACGAUCGCUUGCUGUGUGGUGGCUGGUAGCGAGGGUGUGAAAUUGAAAUUCGACGUGUGAAAUUCUAGUGGUGGUAGGAAGUGAAGGGUAAGUUUGGGGUGUGAACGCACUUGAUUGGCGUGCGGUUUCGUGGCAUGGCAUGAGGAAAUUGAAUCGAGUGCAUGGGGAUUUCUACACCGGGAUUUUGUUCUGUAGCUCCGUGUGAAAGGUCUGCCACUUUCAGUCCGGAUCGUUUCAGGUGUGGUAAAGAGGGCGGGGGGUGCUAUGUGUGUGAGGGCUCGAAAAUCAGCACGAUUCUGGUAGACAUGAGUGUGAUAUGUUGAUACAUAAGUGUUUCAUCCGAGUGCUGAUCUGUGCAUAGGAGAUACAGUCAUCUGUUGCUUGCCGUAGUUAGGGUUAGCUUAAGUGUACUAAAUCUGUGAAGAGUUUUGAUGCGUUGCAGAUGUUUGUGGGAUUGUAGAACUAUGAGGAUGCUAAGAAGUUUUGCAACAAGAAAUUGGGACAUUUUACAUGAUAUAUGAUGGAAGAAUAUAGUUUUUUAAGAAUUUUUGUGGAAAAAAAUAGUUUGUUGUAUUGGUAUCGUAUGGAUUGUUGAAGGAGAUAAAUACUUGAUUUUGGCAUAUAACAUGUUAUAGUAGAAUAUUUUGUUUGCUAAUAUAUUAUUUUUUGUGGUUGUAAUGGAUAUUAGGUUUAUUAUUAUAAUUUAUCUAAUUCAUGUAUUGGAUUUUGUGGUAUUACAAAUGAUUAUUAAAAUUUUGGAAUAAUGUAAGAAGCUUUCACCAAUAGGUAUACUAUAAUUUUUUUUAAUAUGAAUUUAUUAGUAUGUUGAAGUUUUUAUUGAAGUGAUUUUAUAUCUAAUAUGUUAAUUUUGCACUUAUUAUAAUUAAUUGUUUUACAAUGAAAAUUGUGAUGGAUUUGAUGAUUUUAAAAGAAUGAGUAUUAUCAUUAUAAAACUUGUAUAUAAAGAAAAAAAUAAGUUUAUUGGAUUAUUAUAUGUAGAGUUUUGAUUUGAUUUUGGUUUGUGUAAUAUUAUGUUGUGAUAAUUUUUGGCUAAUAUUAUUCUUUUGUGAUUGUAUUAGGUAUUA